Molecule: long non-coding RNA, 1355 nt
Filed under: Mytilus galloprovincialis (Mediterranean mussel)
Lineage: Eukaryota; Metazoa; Mollusca; Bivalvia; Mytilida; Mytilidae
Source: RNAcentral
GUCUUGUAUUAUUUUAAUUUUAGUUUCUUGUGUACAAUUUGGAAAUUAGUAUGGCGUUCAUUAUCACUGGACUAGUAUAUAUUUGUUUAGGGGCCAGCUGAAGGACGCCUCCGGGUGUGGGAAUUUCUCGCUACAUUGAAGACCUGUUGGUGACCCUCUGCUGUUGUUUUAUUUGGUCGGGUUGUUGUCUCUUUGACACAUUCCCCAUUUCCAUUCUCAAUUUUAUCUAUCAAAUUAUCUUUUUCAAAAUUUAACACUAUAUAAAGGUAUGGGGAAAAUCUGGAUUUAGAAUAUUUUUUUUGUCAUCUGCUUGAACAGAAUAUUUUUUUUCAUCAAACUAGGAAAAAACCAUAAGCUUCCCCUUGAAGUUAAAUGGUCGUUCCCUUAACUGGAGAUUUAAACGUAGACUAACUGAUUGAGUUAUGCAAUAUCAUAAUAGGGAAUGUUGAGUUUUUUUUUAUAAAAGGAUAAUGUCAUAAUAUGAAAAUAAGAUGUAGUUUGAAUGCCAAUGAGACACUCAUAUGAAGGGAAUGUCAGCAAACAUAGGCAACGGUAAGGAUUCAACAAUGAGAAAAAUCCAUACUGUAUAGUUGGCUUAUAAAGGCCCCGACAUGAAAAAUGUGGAACAAUAAAUUCAAAGGAGAAAACAAACGCCGAAACGGCCUGAAUUAUAACAAAACAGUUAAUGAAAAACAAAUACAUGUAUGAUUGACAGAAAUGAACAGGGUUGUGGAAAUAUUUGUUGUGAGAACUUGUCCCUAGGCAAGUAAAACUAAAUUUUACUUGUUGAGGCCAAAUAAAAAUAUAUGUGUGGUUCCAGUAACCCUACCGUCCCUACUUUUUCGGCUUAAAAAUAGCCUACCCUAAAGAUUUAUUGUCAUUUUUCAUUAAGCACUGUUAAAGUCAGAAUGUUGCUCCCAUGCAUAGACUCAAUGUAAAAAAAAAAACAUAAAAUAAAAAAAAAUCCCUACCUACCUACCCUAACUUUUUUUUCAGAUGUAACUGGAACCACACAUACUUUUUUAUUUGGCCUGAGAAAAAAGUUACUUGUCCUGAAUUUCCCAAUAAAUAUUGAAGUAAUUUAUUGUAAGCUUGUAUGAUUCUUAAUUUGACUUAAUUUUUAACUGUAUCACAAAAAAAAGUAUGUUUGUGAUAUUUGUUUAUGCGUAUGAAUAAAAGGAUAUAUAUGGUUAACUUCAAUAAGACAGAAACCCAACAGCAAAACAACCAAAAGACAUCUGAAGGGCAAUUUUGCAAUGUUUUUUGAAUGAUAGCCAGUAUACAUGGUAUAGAUAGAUCCAUGACAUUUUAUAAGUUUUGAAACAGUGAAGAAAUGACUAAUUAAUACAUGUAUU